GACGAACGCUGGCGGCGUGCUUAACACAUGCAAGUCGAACGGAAAGGCCCUGCUUUUGUGGGGUGCUCGAGUGGCGAACGGGUGAGUAACACGUGAGUAACCUGCCCUUGACUUUGGGAUAACUUCAGGAAACUGGGGCUAAUACCGGAUAGGAGCUCCUGCUGCAUGGUGGGGGUUGGAAAGUUUCGGAGGUUGGGGAUGGACUCGCGGCUUAUCAGCUUGUUGGUGGGGUAGUGGCUUACCAAGGCUUUGACGGGUAGCCGGCCUGAGAGGGUGACCGGCCACAUUGGGACUGAGAUACGGCCCAGACUCCUACGGGAGGCAGCAGUGGGGAAUAUUGCACAAUGGGCGGAAGCCUGAUGCAGCAACGCCGCGUGCGGGAUGACGGCCUUCGGGUUGUAAACCGCUUUCGCCUGUGACGAAGCGUGAGUGACGGUAAUGUGUAAAGAAGCACCGGCUAACUACGUG
RNAcentral lists this ribosomal RNA (468 nucleotides) under uncultured bacterium. Its description in RNAcentral is "partial 16S ribosomal RNA". It matches the Rfam family "Bacterial small subunit ribosomal RNA", at positions 28 to 507 of the family's 1533-position model. The record is from RNAcentral.